ACAUGCGUAAUCUGUCUCUAACAACCCCACACCGACAUAUCAGAAGAUUGAAGUCUCAAAGCCGAGAAAAUUCAAUAAGUAAUUCACAUCUUUCGAUUAGCGCACUGUUUUUACAAGACGUUCAGACGCUGGUGGAUUUACUCAGUGAAGAGAGCACAUGAUGACGUCGUUUGUUCGAAUCUCGAAUCUGUGUCUGUUGCUCGCAGUGCUGGUCGCCUACAGUCUGAUUUCUGUACAGACAGCACGAGCCAAGAAAGAGAGCAGACAUUUGCCGACAAAAAAGCCAUCACCAACGCACAAAGCACAUAGAACGAAAACAGCGGAGCAACCUGAUUGCGAUGACGUCGACUGUCCUGAUGUCACCUGCGACAACCCAACCAAAAAGCCAGGUGAUUGCUGUCAGAAAUGCUCAGGCUGUGACGUACACGGGGUAAACAUCCCCGUGGGUAAGACCCACACCUUCCCCGAGGGGUACUACUGUGGGUGUAAGGCAAGUGGUGAAGUAUGGUGUGUCGCCUAAGAAAACAACACGGACCUAAAUUUACUACACAUAAUGCCAGAAUAAACAAAGUUGAAAUCUUGGCAACACAAACUUACCUCACAAUAUACCGAAAUACAAAAACUUGAAAUCUUGACAACACGGACCUAAAUUUACCACACACUAUAACAAAAAAAGACAUUUAAUAUACAUUAUACCUGAAUAAACAAACUUGAAAUCUU
This is a long non-coding RNA of Physella acuta, 720 nucleotides long. RefSeq lists it as uncharacterized. Lineage: Eukaryota; Metazoa; Mollusca; Gastropoda; Physidae. The record is from RefSeq and is a predicted model, not a curated record.